GUCGCAGGCGGGGCGUGACCCGGCUGGCGGCGCUUCUGGCGUCGGUCACGUUGGCCGUGGCCGCAUGCGGCAGUUCGAACCCGCUCGGCGGCG
RNAcentral lists this transfer RNA (93 nucleotides) under Mycolicibacterium litorale. RNAcentral describes it as "tRNA-Arg". Lineage: Bacteria; Bacillati; Actinomycetota; Actinomycetes; Mycobacteriales; Mycobacteriaceae. The record is from RNAcentral.